RNAcentral lists this ribosomal RNA (448 nucleotides) under uncultured delta proteobacterium. RNAcentral's name for it is "bacterial SSU rRNA". It matches the Rfam family "Bacterial small subunit ribosomal RNA", at positions 100 to 523 of the family's 1533-position model. Lineage: Bacteria; Deltaproteobacteria. The record is from RNAcentral.
GCACGGGUGAGUAACACGUAGGUAACCUACCCUCGAGCGGGGGAUAACCCUCCGAAAGGAGAGCUAAUACCGCAUGAGACCACGGUUUCUAACCGAAACUGAGGUUAAAGCAGGCCUCUUCAUGAAAGCUUGCACUCGAGGAUGGGCCUGCGGCCUAUCAGGUAGUUGGUGAGGUAAUGGCCCACCAAGCCUAAGACGGGUAGCUGGUCUGAGAGGAUGGUCAGCCACACUGGAACUGAGACACGGUCCAGACUCCUACGGGAGGCAGCAGUGGGGAAUCUUGCGCAAUGGGCGAAAGCCUGACGCAGCAACGCCGCGUGGAGGAUGAAGGCCCUUGGGUUGUAAACUCCUGUCGGCUGGGAAGAAGUCGUUCGCGGUUAAUACCCGCGGGCGUUGACUGUACCAGCAAAGGAAGCCCCGGCUAACUCUGUGCCAGCAGCCGCGGUAA